AUGAACCUUUUUGUGGGGCUCUGUCGCUCCUGAGCAUUCUGCAAGUACCGUUAGUGCUGGAGCAACUGAUGAAAAUGGAAUAGGAAUGUAGGCAGGGGGCUGUUGCGUGCACUUUACGGAGGGCAGGAGGAAUCCAGGCAACAGACUGGAGUCCACCACGUAUAGUCGUUUAAACAACCAUGAUGCGCUAAAAUGCAGCACUGGCUGAGGGCAGACUCGCUCUCACAAACCAAGAGAAUGAAGAAAAUCCAUUAAAUGAAGAGGCACAUAGGUUCCUGCCAUCAUGACUGAAGUUGUUCCAGACUGGUCUCACUUCAAGCCAGCAAUAAUAAUUCAGACUGGUUCAAUCACUUAAUGUUGGAAAAUAUCCUCAAAUAUCCCUCCCAACCUCUCCUCCUCCCCUCCUUGAACAGAGAAAUGCUCAAGUUUCCCUCAGCGUUCCAAGUUCACAUUCACCUCUGCUUGCCGGGAGGAAAGAAGAAGGGAAGAGGGGACCCUUUCCAGGACACGGGAUAGUCUCUUACUUGUAUCCAUAGAAAAUACUUCAUUCUGCACUUUCUUUAACCUCAGGACUGUCUAAUUCCUCAUGGAAAGAAAAUAACAUUCUGGAAAAAAAGUAAAAGGCAGAUCUGAAACCAAAGACAAGGUUGGAUUUUUCCCCCUCUUGAACCUAGCCAAAUAAAA
Molecule: long non-coding RNA, 684 nt
Filed under: Phascolarctos cinereus (koala)
Lineage: Eukaryota; Metazoa; Chordata; Mammalia; Diprotodontia; Phascolarctidae
Description: lncRNA (ENSPCIG00000010352.2)
Source: RNAcentral